UACGUAGGGUGCGAGCGUUGUCCGGAAUUAUUGGGCGUAAAGAGCUUGUAGGCGGCUUGUUGCGUCUGCUGUGAAAAUCCGGGGCUCAACCCCGGACUUGCAGUGGGUACGGGCAGACUAGAGUGUGGUAGGGGAGACUGGAAUUCCUGGUGUAGCGGUGAAAUGCGCAGAUAUCAGGAGGAACACCGAUAGCGAAGGCAGGUCUCUGGGCCACUACUGACGCUGAGAAGCGAAAGCAUGGGGAGCGAACAGG
RNAcentral lists this ribosomal RNA (253 nucleotides) under uncultured bacterium. Its description in RNAcentral is "partial 16S ribosomal RNA". It matches the Rfam family "Bacterial small subunit ribosomal RNA", at positions 524 to 776 of the family's 1533-position model. The record is from RNAcentral.